UGCCAGCAGCCGCGGUAAUACGAAGGGUGCUAGCGUUGUUCGGAAUUACUGGGCGUAAAGAGCAUGUAGGCGGAUGAAUUAGUCAGAGGUGAAAGCCCCGAGCUCAACCUGGGAAUUGCAUACGAUACUGGCCGACUAGAGUACGAGAGAGGGAGGUAGAAUUCCACGUGUAGCGGUGAAAUGCGUAGAUAUGUGGAGGAACACCAGUGGCGAAGGCGGCUCACUGGCUCGAUACUGACGCUGAGGUGCGAAAGCGUGGGGAGCAAACAGGAUUAGAUA
This 279-nucleotide ribosomal RNA is filed under the name uncultured bacterium. RNAcentral describes it as "partial 16S ribosomal RNA". It matches the Rfam family "Bacterial small subunit ribosomal RNA", at positions 506 to 784 of the family's 1533-position model. The record is from RNAcentral.